AGGCAGCCUACUUGUUAAAAAAGCAAUGACAUGAGAGGUGUUUAACUGCUCCUAGAUAAAACUAUGCUUCUGCUCUUCAGACUUGCUGAGAUUUUGUCUUUGAAGCUGGUCUAGUAGUCUUUAAGCACAUU
Molecule: non-coding RNA, 131 nt
Organism: Brassica napus (rape)
Lineage: Eukaryota; Viridiplantae; Streptophyta; Magnoliopsida; Brassicales; Brassicaceae
Source: Rfam